UCCGGGCGGCCGGCUGCUUAAAGGGGCAAUGCCGCGACGAAAGCGUUCGUGUGGGGCCCGCCAGGCGUCGCUGGCCGCCUCGUCUCCCGAGGGGACGUUUCUGACUGGGCUGCGGCUGUGCGAGCCGCGGAGCCCCAAGGCCUGAGCCUUCCUCAGAAGGCUGUGAGCAGCCCUGUUUCCUGCCCCUGGGGAAGGAAGUGGCGCUGAGGGGCAGGCUGACCGAAUGCUAGAAGUCUACUUCUCCUCCUACUGGUCUACAGGGGCUGGUGGGUCUACAAGUCCGAUUCUCCCAUCUUUUUAUUGCCUUUCACAUAUGAUAAUCACCAGAGCAACCCCGGAACACACCCCUUCUGUGGAGAAAGACGGCCAACAGGAUACUCAUCUACCCUUGUGAGCUGUGGGAUGUGCUAGUGUUUUG
This is a long non-coding RNA of Peromyscus eremicus (cactus mouse), 418 nucleotides long. RefSeq lists it as uncharacterized. NCBI's taxonomy places the organism in Eukaryota, Metazoa, Chordata, Mammalia, Rodentia, Cricetidae. The record is from RefSeq and is a predicted model, not a curated record. The transcript has 3 exons.